Molecule: long non-coding RNA, 103 nt
Organism: Alosa sapidissima (American shad)
Lineage: Eukaryota; Metazoa; Chordata; Actinopteri; Clupeiformes; Clupeidae
Exons: 3
Source: RefSeq, a predicted model, not a curated record
AGAGAGAAAGUUCGUUGGUGUUUCUUAAUGACAUGUUUUAAUUCUCCACCAAUAUGCGAGAAUUCUGUGGAGAAACAGAGUCUUUGCUUCGAGGCGCGUUUGG